Molecule: ribosomal RNA, 494 nt
Filed under: uncultured bacterium
Lineage: Bacteria
Description: partial 16S ribosomal RNA
Rfam family: Bacterial small subunit ribosomal RNA
Source: RNAcentral
GACGAACGCUGGCGGCGUGCUUAACACAUGCAAGUCGAACGGAAAGGCCUGCUUUCCCUUGUGGUUUGCGGGUACUCGGGUGGCGAACGGGUGAGUAACACGUGAGUGAUCUGCCCCCAACUUGGGUAUAAGCCUGGGAAACUGGGUCUAAUUCCCGAUAGGACUGCAGGGUGGUGCCUGUGGUGGCAAACGUUUUUCUAGUGGUUGGGGAUGAGCCCGCGGCCUAUCAGCUUGUUGGAGGGGUAGUGGCCUACCAAGGCGGCGAGGGGUAGCCGGAGUGGGAGGGUGGACGGCGACAUUGAGACUGGGACACGACCCAGACGCGAGCGGGCAGCAGGGGUGGUGACUAAUGCGCAGUGAGCGGGAGGCUGCUGCAGCGAGGCAGUGUGGAGGAUGUCCGGCUUCGGGUUGUAUGCUCCUUGCGAAGAAGAGGAGGCCACCUGGUUGGAAGGGUGGUGACGGUAGUGGUAGAAGAAGCCCCGGCUAACUACGUG